GUUCCUCUGGGAUGAACCGGUCCCUAAUACUUUAAUCACCAUCUCGUCACUUUGUCAGCUAUUAAAAUUUUAUUCUUAGCUGAUCAUUAAGGAUGGGACAUUU
This 103-nucleotide small nucleolar RNA is filed under the name Ananas comosus (pineapple). Its description in RNAcentral is "Small nucleolar RNA snoR99". It matches the Rfam family "Small nucleolar RNA snoR99". Lineage: Eukaryota; Viridiplantae; Streptophyta; Magnoliopsida; Poales; Bromeliaceae. The record is from Rfam by way of RNAcentral.